UGGGGAAUUUUGGACAAUGGGGCGAAAGCCUGAUCCAGCAAUGCCGCGUGUGUGAAGAAGGCCUUCGGGUUGUAAAGCACUUUUGUCCGGAAAGAAAUCCUUGGUUCUAAUAUAGCCGGGGGGAUGACGGUACCGGAAGAAUAAGCACCGGCUAACUACGUGCCAGCAGCCGCGGUAAUACGUAGGGUGCGAGCGUUAAUCGGAAUUACUGGGCGUAAAGCGUGCGCAGGCGGUUUGCUAAGACCGAUGUGAAAUCCCCGGGCUCAACCUGGGAACUGCAUUGGUGACUGGGCAGGCUAGAGUAUGGCAGAGGGGGGUAGAAUUCCACGUGUAGCAGUGAAAUGCGUAGAGAUGUGGAGGAAUACCGAUGGCGAAGGCAGCCCCCUGGGCCAAUACUGACGCUCAUGCACGAAAGCGUGGGGAGCAAACAGGAUUAGAUACCCCUGGUAGUCCACGCCCUAAACGAUGUCAACUAGUUGUUGGGGAUUCAUUUCCUUAGUAACGUAGCUAACGCGUGAAGUUGACCGCCUGGGGAGUACGGUCGCAAGAUUAAAACUCAAAGGAAUUGACGGGGU
Molecule: ribosomal RNA, 575 nt
Filed under: uncultured bacterium
Lineage: Bacteria
Description: partial 16S ribosomal RNA
Rfam family: Bacterial small subunit ribosomal RNA
Source: RNAcentral